GCUACGGCCAUACCAGCCUGUGUACGCCCGAUCUCGUCUGAUCUCGGAAGCUAAGCAGGGUCGGGCCUGGUUAGUACUUGGAUGGGAGACCACCUGGGAAUACCAGGUGCUGUAAGCA
This 118-nucleotide ribosomal RNA is filed under the name Salmo salar (Atlantic salmon). Lineage: Eukaryota; Metazoa; Chordata; Actinopteri; Salmoniformes; Salmonidae. The record is from RNAcentral.